Vicia faba (fava bean) is the source of this 207-nucleotide non-coding RNA. NCBI's taxonomy places the organism in Eukaryota, Viridiplantae, Streptophyta, Magnoliopsida, Fabales, Fabaceae. The record is from the annotation of a GenBank genome assembly.
AUGGCGAAUCAGUUGGGAAAUCUGGUUGAGUCGAUAAAGUCGAAGGUUCGGUCAACACUGAAGAUGAAGAAGGGAAAGAAACCAUACAUAAAGAUCGAUAAGAGUGCAAGCGUGAAGGUGGAGAUUCGAAGCAGAAAAGCUCGUAAGAUCAUUGAGAAGACGUUGAAAGCUGCUGAUAAUCCCGGCAAGCAUAACAUCACUGUAUAA